GGAAAAGGGCCCCUUCCCUCACAAGCUGGAGAAGAAAACCAGCCUGAAAGCCCCCUCCCACCAGUGCUUCAGGUGGGACUGGGCCUUCAGUUCUCAUCUCUUCCCCUCUGGCUUUGUAACCCCCCUUCUGCUCUCUUUUCACCCACAGGUAACCUCCGUGGCUACAACCUGGCCACCCCCAACCUGACACCCCCCAGCCUCACACCUCCACAGCUGGCCACCCCAAAUCUCCAGCAAUUCUUUCCUCAGGCCACUCGGCAGUCCCUGCUGGGUCCUCCUCCCGUCGGGGUCCCCAUCAACCCCUCCCAGCUCAACCUUUCAGGGCGAACCCCCCAGAAACAGACUCGGACCUCCUCCUCUACGACCCCCAAUCGCAAGGAUUCUUCUUCUCAGACGACGCCUGUGGAGGACAAAUCGGACCCCCCAGAGGGGUCUGAAGAAGCCGCAGAGCCCCGAACAGAAACACCCGAAGACCAAGAACCUCCCCAGUGCCCAGAUGACAUCGCUAAGGAGAAAUGCACUCAAGCACUUGAGCCUGAGUCUUGUGAAGCCUCUGAGCCGCCAGCUAAAAAGUCAAAGAGCUCAGAGGAGCCCACAGAGAAGGGGCCCCCAGGGAAGCUGCAGGCAGAGGUCCGGCUGCAGACCCGGAUGAUGGCACCCAAGCAGACACAGACACCCGAGCUGCUGCCUGAGCCCCUGGAAGCCCGUGCAGCCACGAUUUCAGCCCGGGUCCUGCAGAUCACAGCCCAGGUGCAGCCACAGACCCAGCCACAGACGCUCCCUGUAAAUGCCCAGGUGCAGCCAAAGCUACAGAAGCAGGCACAGGCGCAGACCUCUCCAGAGCACUCAGCACUGCAGCAGGUGCAGCGGCAGCCGCAGGAGGAGGCAGAGCCAUGGCGACAGGCGCAGCCGCCGCCCCCCAGGCACGUGCAGCCGCUGCUACAGAAGCAGGCACAGACGCAGACGUGCCCACAGGUCCAGGCGGAAGCACAGCCGAGGCUCCAGCCGCCGGAGCAGCCACCGAAGCAACCUCUGGUUCAGUUACCAGUGCAGCCACUGGAACCGGCCCAGGGACGGCCUCAGACUCAGCCACAGGUGUCAGUGCCAGCGUCAGAGAAAGCCCCAGUUCUGGUUCGCUCUGCAGCGCUGGAAAGAUUGCCUGAUACAGUAGAAGCUAGAGCAGGCCCAGAGGAGGCCCCACCAGAGCCAGGGGGCGCCCAGGCCAGCGUGGAGGAGAGCCAGGAGGAGCUGACCGGUGGCCUGGAUGUGGCAGAAUGUGAAAAAAGAGCGAGAGAGAUGCUGGGGGUGUGGGGGGCUGGGGGAUCCCUGAAGGUCACCAUCCUGCAGAGCAGCGACAGCCGGGCCUUUAGCACCUCUACCUCUGCCACCCCUGCGGCGGCCAGCACACCCUCUAAGCAGGCCCUUCAGUUCUUCUGCUACAUCUGCAAGGCCGGCUGCAGUAGCCAGCAGGAGUUCCAGGAACACAUGUCGGGAGCCCAGCACCAGCAGCGGCUCGGCGAGAUCCAGCACAUGAGCCAAGCCUUCCUGCUGUCCCUGCUGCCUGUGCCCCGGGACGUCCUGGAGAGAGAGGACGAAGAGCCUCCACCCAGGCGCUGGUGCAACACCUGCCAAGCACUUGGGACCACAAGGUACCAGGGCUUCGCCAAACAAUCCCUGCGACCUUUCUGCACCAUUUGCAACCGCUACUUCAAGACCCCCCGCAAGUUUGUGGAGCACGUGAAGUCCCAGGGCCAUAAGGACAAAGCCAAUGAGCUGAAGACACUGGAGAAGGAUAUAGCCGGCCAAGACGAGGACCACUUCAUCACGGUGGAUGCUGUGGGCUGCUUUGAGGGCGAUGAAGAAGAGGAGGAGGAUGACGAGGAGGAAGAAGAGAUCGAGGCUGAGGAGGAAUUCUGCAAGCAGAUGAGAUCCAGAGACAUAUCCAUAGAGGAGUGGAAAGGCUCAGAGACCUACAGCCCCAACACCGCAUACGGGGUGGACUUCCUGGUGCCCGUGAUGGGCUAUGUCUGCCGCAUGUGCCACAAGUUCUACCACAGCAACUCGGGGGCGCAGCUCUCCCACUGCAAGUCCUUGGCCCACUUUGAGAACCUGCAGAAAUACAAGAAGGCCAAGAAACCCAGCCCCACCACCAGGCCCUUGAGCCGCCGGUGUGCCAUCAACGCCCGGAACGCCCUGACCGCUCUGUUCACUGCUGGCGGCCGUGCACCCAGCCAGCCCAGCACCCAGGACACAGCCAAAACCCCCAGCAAGGUGAUGCCCACACCCCCUCGGCCCCCACUGCCCCGGCGCUCCAGACGCCUCAGAACCUGAUGGAGGAAGCACCCCAUGCCCGCCCCAUCUCAGUCCCAAUCGGCUAAGCUUUUUAGGAGUCUGUGUGGAGACUUUGAUAUGGUCGGUAUUUUUACUGAAAAUCCAAUAAAGGAAGGAGUUUGGCCUGUAUAGUCUCCA
This is a long non-coding RNA of Bos grunniens (domestic yak), 2469 nucleotides long. The record is from Ensembl. NCBI's taxonomy places the organism in Eukaryota, Metazoa, Chordata, Mammalia, Artiodactyla, Bovidae.